CCUACGGGGGGCAGCAGUGGGGAAUAUUGCACACUGGGGGAAACCCUGAUGCAGCAACGCCGCGUGAGUGAAGAAGUAUUUCGGUAUGUAAAGCUCUAUCAUCAGGGAAGAAGAUUACGGUUCCUGAGUAAGAAGCCCCGGCUAACUACUUGCCAGCAGCCGCUGUAAUACGUAGGGGGCAAGCUGUAUCCGGAUUUACUGGGUGGAAAGGGAUCGCAGCCGGUGCGACAAAUCUGAAGUGAAAGCCCGGGGCUCAACCCCGGGACUGCUUUGGAAACUGCCUGACUGGAGUGCUGGAGAGGCAAGCGGAAUUCCUAGUGUAGCGGUGAAAUGCGUAGAGAUUAGGAAGAACACCAGUGGCGAAGGCGGCUUGCUGGACAGUAACUGACGUUGAGGGUCGAAAGCGUGGGGAGCAAACAGGAUUAGAUACCCGUGUAGUC
RNAcentral lists this ribosomal RNA (440 nucleotides) under uncultured bacterium. RNAcentral's name for it is "partial 16S ribosomal RNA". It matches the Rfam family "Bacterial small subunit ribosomal RNA", at positions 338 to 795 of the family's 1533-position model. The record is from RNAcentral.